This 500-nucleotide ribosomal RNA is filed under the name Botrytis cinerea. RNAcentral describes it as "eukaryotic LSU rRNA". The stretch from base 159 to 312 matches the Rfam family "5.8S ribosomal RNA". The record is from RNAcentral. RNAcentral also lists the same sequence under 1 other name. Lineage: Eukaryota; Fungi; Ascomycota; Leotiomycetes; Helotiales; Sclerotiniaceae.
AAGGAUCAUUACAGAGUUCAUGCCCGAAAGGGUAGACCUCCCACCCUUGUGUAUUAUUACUUUGUUGCUUUGGCGAGCUGCCUUCGGGCCUUGUAUGCUCGCCAGAGAAUACCAAAACUCUUUUUAUUAAUGUCGUCUGAGUACUAUAUAAUAGUUAAAACUUUCAACAACGGAUCUCUUGGUUCUGGCAUCGAUGAAGAACGCAGCGAAAUGCGAUAAGUAAUGUGAAUUGCAGAAUUCAGUGAAUCAUCGAAUCUUUGAACGCACAUUGCGCCCCUUGGUAUUCCGGGGGGCAUGCCUGUUCGAGCGUCAUUUCAACCCUCAAGCUUAGCUUGGUAUUGAGUCUAUGUCAGUAAUGGCAGGCUCUAAAAUCAGUGGCGGCGCCGCUGGGUCCUGAACGUAGUAAUAUCUCUCGUUACAGGUUCUCGGUGUGCUUCUGCCAAAACCCAAAUUUUUCUAUGGUUGACCUCGGAUCAGGUAGGGAUACCCGCUGAACUUAA